Pogoniulus pusillus (Red-fronted tinkerbird) is the source of this 631-nucleotide long non-coding RNA. RefSeq lists it as uncharacterized. NCBI's taxonomy places the organism in Eukaryota, Metazoa, Chordata, Aves, Piciformes, Lybiidae. The record is from RefSeq and is a predicted model, not a curated record. The transcript is spliced from 5 exons.
GGUUUACAGGCUGAGGAGAGAUUUCACAAGUGGGAAGAGCCAAAACCAAAUAUCUUGGCAGAUGGGUUUGAAAGAUGUGGUGCUGAGGAGCCUGGUUUGGUGGUGUUUUGUUGCUGGUUGUACUUGAUGGUGUCUUCCAACCAAGAUGAUUCAGCAGAGAAACUCAUUCCAAGAGGAGUCAUCUCUGCUCAGCCUAUGGAUGAAGCAGAACUUCUCAGACUGAGACCUGAACUGACUCCCAGGACCAAACAGAACCAUGGCCUUGACUCCUGCUAAAAGCUGAGUGCCUCCACCCAGUGACAGAGCAGGUGCAGAUUCAAAAGGUGUCUCCUUCCACUAAUGAGUCUGGGAUAAAGACUUCAUCACUCUGCUAUCACCUUGGAUCUUGGCUUGGGAGUGGUGAGAUCUUUGAAAGGACCUACAGUGACUGAGGUGUGGUGUCAGACAGCAGACACGUCUGGGAGCAGUGGGACAGCAGGAAGCACUGCUUAAUGGGAAGUGCAUCUACUCAGGAGAUCAAGGUGAGACCUCAGACAUGUUUCCUUUUUCUUCCAGAAGAACAACCUAUGGCAUAUCUUGAGGGGAGUUUUGUUCUCCAGAGAUCCAAACUUCUACUUGUGCACAGGAUGCU